GAGUUUGAUCCUGGCUCAGGACGAACGCUGGCGGCGUGCUUAACACAUGCAAGUCGAGGGCACUUGGGGGGCAACUCUUAAGUGACCGGCGAACGGGUGCGUAACAUGUGAGCGACCUUGCCUCGUGGUGGGGGAUAGCCGGCCCAACGGCCGUGUAAUACCGCAUAGGGUGGUUUUCUCGCAUGGGAGAACCAGCAAAGCUUGGCAGCAAUGCCUGGCGCCACAGGGGGGGCUCGCGGCCUAUCAGCUAGUUGGGGGGGUAAUGGCCCACCAAGGCGACGACGGGUAGCUGGUCUGACAGGAUGGCCAGCCACAUUGGGACUGAGAGACGGCCCAGACUCCUACGGGAGGCAGCAGUGGGGAAUCUUGCGCAAUGGCCGAAAGGCUGACGCAGCGACGCCGCGUGAGGGAUGAAGGCCUUCGGGUCGUAAACCUCUUUCAGCAGGGAAGAAGCGAAAGUGACGGUACCUGCAGAAGAAGCACCGGCUAACUACGUGCCAGCAGCCGCGGUAAUACGUAGGGUGCAAGCGUUGUCCGGAAUUAUUGGGCGUAAAGAGCUCGUAGGCGGUCUGUCGCGUCUGGUGUGAAAACUCAGGGCUUAACCCUGAGCUUGCAUCGGGUACGGGCAGACUAGAGUGUGCUAGGGGAGACUGGAAUUCCUGGUGUAGCGGUGAAAUGCGCAGAUAUCAGGAGGAACACCGGUGGCGAAGGCGGGUCUCUGGGGCAUAACUGACGCUGAGGAGCGAAAGCAUGGGGAGCGAACAGGAUUAGAUACCCUGGUAGUCCAUGCCGUAAACGUUGGGCGCUAGGUGUGGGGCUCAUUCCACGAGUUCCGUGCCGCAGCAAACGCAUUAAGCGCCCCGCCUGGGGAGUACGGCCGCAAGGCUAAAACUCAAAGGAAUUGACGGGGGCCCGCACAAGCGGCGGAGCAUGCGGAUUAAUUCGAUGCAACGCGAAGAACCUUACCAAGGCUUGACAUGGGGUGAAAACUCGCAGAGAUGCGGGGUCCGCAAGGGCGCCUCACAGGUGGUGCAUGGCUGUCGUCAGCUCGUGUCGUGAGAUGUUGGGUUAAGUCCCGCAACGAGCGCAACCCUCGUUCCAUGUUGCCAGCGCGUUAUGGCGGGGACUCAUGGAAGACUGCCGGGGUCAACUCGGAGGAAGGUGGGGAUGACGUCAAGUCAUCAUGCCCCUUAUGUCCAGGGCUUCACGCAUGCUACAAUGGCCGGUACAAACCGUUGCGAUACCGUAAGGUUGAGCGAAUCGGAAAAAGCCGGUCUCAGUUCGGAUCGGGGUCUGCAACUCGACCCCGUGAAGUCGGAGUCGCUAGUAAUCGCAGAUCAGCAACGCUGCGGUGAUACGUUCCCGGGCCUUGUACACAC
Molecule: ribosomal RNA, 1379 nt
Filed under: uncultured Kineosporiaceae bacterium
Lineage: Bacteria; Bacillati; Actinomycetota; Actinomycetes; Kineosporiales; Kineosporiaceae
Description: bacterial SSU rRNA
Rfam family: Bacterial small subunit ribosomal RNA
Source: RNAcentral